RNAcentral lists this ribosomal RNA (359 nucleotides) under fungal sp. NLR-2013. RNAcentral describes it as "eukaryotic LSU rRNA". The stretch from base 64 to 217 matches the Rfam family "5.8S ribosomal RNA". The record is from RNAcentral. Lineage: Eukaryota; Fungi.
GAGCCCCCGGAGGUCAUCAAACACUGCAUCUUUGCGUCGGAGUCUUAAAGUAAAUUUAAACAAAACUUUCAACAACGGAUCUCUUGGUUCUGGCAUCGAUGAAGAACGCAGCGAAAUGCGAUAAGUAAUGUGAAUUGCAGAAUUCAGUGAAUCAUCGAAUCUUUGAACGCACAUUGCGCCCCGUGGUAUUCCGCGGGGCAUGCCUGUUCGAGCGUCAUUUCACCACUCAAGCCUAGCUUGGUAUUGGGCGUCGCGGUUCCGCGCGCCGUAAAGUCUCCGGCUGAGCAGUUCGUCUCUAAGCGUUGUGGUAUUUUAUUUUCGCUGAAGAGUUCGGACGGCUCUUUGUCUCGUUAAAUCUU